UGAUUCAAGGAGUCUAUGAGAUAUUAAAUUUAAGUGCUAAUUUAUUUCAUAUUAAAUCUGAUUUAGUUAGACUUAAUUGAGUUUAUAAAUUCAAAUUAAACUUAAUCCUAAAUCCUAAACAGUUUGGAAUUGACAGCUUAUUCGAAAUUGAUUCGAAUCAUAUUUGAAUUAAAUUCGAAUUGAUCCAUAUUUGGAUUAGAUCCUUAGAGUCCAAUUUUAUUGAGAUUCUCUCUCCUC
Molecule: long non-coding RNA, 237 nt
Filed under: Elaeis guineensis (African oil palm)
Lineage: Eukaryota; Viridiplantae; Streptophyta; Magnoliopsida; Arecales; Arecaceae
Description: long non-coding RNA (EGUI_LNC022876)
Source: RNAcentral